Molecule: ribosomal RNA, 1812 nt
Filed under: Triticum aestivum (bread wheat)
Lineage: Eukaryota; Viridiplantae; Streptophyta; Magnoliopsida; Poales; Poaceae
Description: partial small subunit ribosomal RNA
Source: RNAcentral
AAAAAAAAAACGAUUCAUACGCGGCCUGACUCGCCCGUCGUUGACAUCGCAGCCCGCACGAGAACACGAGGGUUCCGCCGCCGCCGCACCCACAUCCAUCCUCUCCGCGAUGCCCGUCCUCGCUCCGCCGUCGUCGAAUCCGGUCGAGCUCGUCAGGAUUCGCCGCAUCUCGCGCGACGCCCAUCCCGUGCACCCAGCCCCCGCUAACGACGGGCGCCCAGCACCAUCGACGGCGCGCGCCUCCAGCAUCCACCUCCCUAGGAGAGCUCCUCCUGCCUCCGGCGGAGGCGCAUGAGCCGAGCCCGGCCAUAACACGCCCGUGGCCGUGGCCAACAACAACCUCCAGGCUGCAUCAGCGUUCGGUGGCCAACUCUUGAUGGAUUUCCAAUGUGCCUCCGGCCUCCCAUUUUUUUUUCAGAAUCUACUCCAAUGAGUGAAUCAUAGCCACCAAUAAACAGGCACCCAGUGAAGAUGUCACACUUUGAUGUGAAGUGCCUGAGAUCACAUUCAUCACUAGGAAGGUUCAAGAUGUUCCGCAUCAAAGGCGUCGGCAGUGCUACAAGAGUUGAAGAAAGACGAGGUUUUGGUGUUGUUACUACUAUCUGUGAAGUGUCAAACCUGCCGAAGAAGGCAUGCCUAUUUUUCUCGUUGUGUUCUGAUGCCGAUAAAUAAACCCAAGUGUGAGAAAAAUGUUGGCGAACAGAUAACAAAAGCUAUCCGGACUGAUGUCAGAAAAUUAUUAUGGUAACAAUAAACUAUACUAUGUUUUAGGGAACUAUAAAACAAAGUCGUUUACUGUGGUAGAAAAAAGUAGUACAGUCAAUCAUGUACCUUUACAACAGAGAAACAGGGGAUAUGCUGUGGAAAAAACGGCAUAUGAUAAAAGCACAGACUUAAAAUGAAUGCUCAUGUUUUCUUCCUAUAAAAGAGAACUCUUAUCAUAUUAUGAUUGAUUACAAGGACUACACUUAAUUGAUUUGUUUUCUGUUAGGAAGAAAAUAUGUUGUUGAUGGGGAUUUUAAAAAGCUUGAGGUGGUACCGAACGGGAAACAGUUCAUGGAGUUAUUUGAGGUAUCAUCCUUUUGAUAUAGAGGUGGCAUUCCCAUUGUGUAUUACAAACUUGAACUGGUAAUGGAUGUAUGGCUUCAUGUAUCUUCAUCUCUAUUUGGAUGAUUUGGAACCUUCCAAACUGAACUUGAACACUUUCAUGCUUCUGAACUAAAUUUUGAAGACAUGCAGGCAACUUCAUUUCAAGCAUCAGGUUGACUUGAGGCCUGACACCGGUGAGGCCAGAGACGGCAGUUCAAGGCGGUGGCCGUUGACAACGGCCAGGAAGCUAGAAAAAACUAGCACGUCUCUCUCCCUCGCGUGAGUGUUGAAUCAGUCCUGUGAAAUUUCUAUGCCCAAUAUGUGCCCGGGCGUCGCCGCCACUCCGUGCCUGCCACAACGUCAGCCCUCCCGUUUCUGCACUGUCGCCACCACCGGCCGGUAGCCCGUGCAGCCACCUCAAGCAUCCUCCACCGCCCAUGCCAUGUCCCCGAUGUAACGCGGGAUCUGCCUCAUGGGCGAGGAAACCAGAACCUUGGCCGCCAUCUCACAUGCGACGGCGUGCACCUCAGUGUGCGGUGAGAAUGAUGCAUUUUCCCAAUGGAAGAUCUUUCUUCAGCUAACUUAAUGUUCUUACAAGGAUAGUUUACAAGAUCGUGGUAUUAUUGUAACAGCAGUAGCCAUGGAGACAUCAGGUGAUCCUUAUGAGCAGAACUAUCAUGACGUCAAUAGAAUUCAUAAACUUGCAGUUUAUUUGCUCUAUUC